GCAGAUUCAUUCUGCACCUGGCUGCAGCUCCUGUCUGUACUUUUUUCUGUCUAUUUAGAGAAAUAUUCUGGGGUGCUGUGGCUGCUAUCAGGAACAAUGUAGCUUCCUGGGGACACAGUG
Small nucleolar RNA from Myodes glareolus (Bank vole), 120 nucleotides. RefSeq annotates it as small nucleolar RNA SNORA77. Lineage: Eukaryota; Metazoa; Chordata; Mammalia; Rodentia; Cricetidae. The record is from RefSeq and is a predicted model, not a curated record.